RNAcentral lists this ribosomal RNA (570 nucleotides) under uncultured bacterium. RNAcentral's name for it is "bacterial SSU rRNA". It matches the Rfam family "Bacterial small subunit ribosomal RNA", at positions 335 to 919 of the family's 1533-position model. The record is from RNAcentral.
AUUCCUACGGGAGGCAGCAGUGGGGAAUUUUCCGCAAUGGGCGAAAGCCUGACGGAGCAACGCCGCGUGAGGGAUGAAGGCCUCUGGGCUGUAAACCUCUUUUAUCAAGGAAGAAGAUCUGACGGUACUUGAUGAAUAAGCCACGGCUAAUUCCGUGCCAGCAGCCGCGGUAAUACGGGAGUGGCAAGCGUUAUCCGGAAUUAUUGGGCGUAAAGCGUCCGCAGGCGGCCCUUCAAGUCUGCUGUUAAAAAGUGGAGCUUAACUCCAUCAUGGCAGUGGAAACUUCUGGGCUAGAGUGUGGUAGGGGCAGAGGGAAUUCCCGGUGUAGCGGUGAAAUGCGUAGAUAUCGGGAAGAACACUAGUGGCGAAGGCGCUCUGCUGGGCCAUAACUGACGCUCAUGGACGAAAGCCAGGGGAGCGAAUGGGAUUAGAUACCCCUGUAGUCCUGGCCGUAAACGAUGAACACUAGGUGUCGGGGGAAUCGACCCCUCCGGUGUCGUAGCCAACGCGUUAAGUGUUCCGCCUGGGGAGUACGCACGCAAGUGUGAAACUCAAAGGAAUUGACGGAAU